AGAGUUUGAUCCUGGCUCAGAUUGAACGCUGGCGGCAGGCCUAACACAUGCAAGUCGAGCGGAUGAAGGGAGCUUGCUCCCUGAUUUAGCGGCGGACGGGUGAGUAAUGCCUAGGAAUCUGCCUGGUAGUGGGGGAUAACGUUCCGAAAGGAACGCUAAUACCGCAUACGUCCUACGGGAGAAAGCAGGGGACCUUCGGGCCUUGCGCUAUCAGAUGAGCCUAGGUCGGAUUAGCUAGUUGGUGAGGUAAUGGCUCACCAAGGCGACGAUCCGUAACUGGUCUGAGAGGAUGAUCAGUCACACUGGAACUGAGACACGGUCCAGACUCCUACGGGAGGCAGCAGUGGGGAAUAUUGGACAAUGGGCGAAAGCCUGAUCCAGCCAUGCCGCGUGUGUGAAGAAGGUCUUCGGAUUGUAAAGCACUUUAAGUUGGGAGGAAGGGCAUUAACCUAAUACGUUAGUGUUUUGACGUUACCGACAGAAUAAGCACCGGCUAACUUCGUGCCAGCAGCCGCGGUAAUACGAAGGGUGCAAGCGUUAAUCGGAAUUACUGGGCGUAAAGCGCGCGUAGGUGGUUCGUUAAGUUGGAUGUGAAAGCCCCGGGCUCAACCUAGGAACUGCAUCCAAAACUGGCGAGCUAGAGUACGGUAGAGGGUGGUGGAAUUCCACGUGUAGCGGUGAAAUGCGUAGA
Molecule: ribosomal RNA, 691 nt
Filed under: uncultured bacterium
Lineage: Bacteria
Description: bacterial SSU rRNA
Rfam family: Bacterial small subunit ribosomal RNA
Source: RNAcentral